GACGGAGGGUGCAAGCGUUGUUCGGAAUUACUGGGCGUAAAGCGCGGGCAGGUGGCUCUUUAAGUCCUUUGUGAAAUUCCGGGGCUCAACUCCGGAUGUGCAUAGGAUACUGGAGAGCUAGAGACUGGUAGAGGCGAGCGGAAUUCCUGGUGUAGCGGUGGAAUGCGUAGAUAUCGGGAGGAACACCAGUGGCGAAGGCGACUACCUGGCCUGUUCUUGACGCUGAGGCGCGAAAGCUAGGGGAGCAAACGGG
Molecule: ribosomal RNA, 253 nt
Filed under: uncultured bacterium
Lineage: Bacteria
Description: partial 16S ribosomal RNA
Rfam family: Bacterial small subunit ribosomal RNA
Source: RNAcentral